Lutra lutra (Eurasian river otter) is the source of this 488-nucleotide long non-coding RNA. RefSeq lists it as uncharacterized. The record is from RefSeq and is a predicted model, not a curated record. The transcript is spliced from 4 exons. NCBI's taxonomy places the organism in Eukaryota, Metazoa, Chordata, Mammalia, Carnivora, Mustelidae.
UGGUUCUCCAGGUGCCAACUCCAAUGCAGCAGGGGAAACAACAGACCUAGGAACUACUUAAAAAUGCAAAGUCUUGGGCCCUAUCCCAAAUCUACAGAACCAUGGACUCUGGGGAUGGAAUCUAGCACUUACGCUUUAACAAGCCCCGCAGGGGAUGCUGAUGCUUGCUGAAGUUUGGGACUAUUAAUUUGAGAGCUGCCAAUUAUGUAAAGAUAUUCCAGGAUCAGAGGCAACUGGAGGUAAAAGCCUCUGGCCCCCAGCCUACCUACCAAUAAGAAGGUGUCCUAGCAGAAGAGGCACUGGCCACAUGUAACAGCAGCCUGUCAAAUGAUGGAUGAAGACACAAGGUGAAAUCUACCACUGACAUUCUCUCAAGAAAACCUUGUACCAGCUUACCAGGACACUGUUGCCUCAGGUGAAGCAAAGAACUCGCAGUGUAAGAAAGCACUGUACCCAACCACUGUCGCAUAGUUCUCUCCAUCUUCGGU